UUUAUUUACCUUGUUGCUUCGGCGGGCCCGCCUUAACUGGCCGCCGGGGGGCUCACGCCCCCGGGCCCGCGCCCGCCGAAGACACCCUCGAACUCUGUCUGAAGAUUGUAGUCUGAGUGAAAAUAUAAAUUAUUUAAAACUUUCAACAACGGAUCUCUUGGUUCCGGCAUCGAUGAAGAACGCAGCGAAAUGCGAUACGUAAUGUGAAUUGCAAAUUCAGUGAAUCAUCGAGUCUUUGAACGCACAUUGCGCCCCCUGGUAUUCCGGGGGGCAUGCCUGUCCGAGCGUCAUUGCUGCCCUCAAGCACGGCUUGUGUGUUGGGCCCCGUCCUCCGAUUCCGGGGGACGGGCCCGAAAGGCAGCGGCGGCACCGCGUCCGGUCCUCGAGCGUAUGGGGCUUUGUCACCCGCUCUGUAGGCCCGGCCGGCGCUUGCCGAUCAACCCAAAUUUUUAUCCAGGUUGACCUCGGAUCAGGUAGGGAUACCCGCUGAACUUAAGCAUAUCAUAAGGCCGGAGGAAUUACCGAGUGA
This 529-nucleotide ribosomal RNA is filed under the name Penicillium chrysogenum. RNAcentral describes it as "eukaryotic LSU rRNA". The stretch from base 138 to 290 matches the Rfam family "5.8S ribosomal RNA". The record is from RNAcentral. Lineage: Eukaryota; Fungi; Ascomycota; Eurotiomycetes; Eurotiales; Aspergillaceae.